RNAcentral lists this ribosomal RNA (477 nucleotides) under uncultured bacterium. RNAcentral's name for it is "partial 16S ribosomal RNA". It matches the Rfam family "Bacterial small subunit ribosomal RNA", at positions 28 to 506 of the family's 1533-position model. The record is from RNAcentral.
GAUGAACGCUGGCGGCGUGCUUAACACAUGCAAGUCGAACGGGAAACCUUUUAUUGAAGCUUCGGCAGAUUUAGCUGGUUUCUAGUGGCGGACGGGUGAGUAACGCGUGGGUAACCUGCCUUAUACAGGGGGAUAACAGUCAGAAAUGGCUGCUAAUACCGCAUAAGCGCACAGAGCUGCAUGGCUCAGUGUGAAAAACUCCGGUGGUAUAAGAUGGACCCGCGUUGGAUUAGCUGGUUGGUGGGGUAACGGCCCACCAAGGCGACGAUCCAUAGCCGGCCUGGAGGGGGGAACGGCCAAAUUGGGACUGGCACACGGCCCAGACCCCUACGGGAGGCAGCAGGGGGGAAAAUUGCACAAUGGGGGAACCCCGAAUGCAGCGGCGCCGGGGGAAGGAAGAAGUAUCCCGGAAUGUAAACUUCUAUCAGCAGGGAAGAUAAUGCCGGUACCUGACAAAAAAGCCCCGGCAAACUCCGU